RNAcentral lists this ribosomal RNA (374 nucleotides) under uncultured organism. RNAcentral describes it as "partial 16S ribosomal RNA". It matches the Rfam family "Bacterial small subunit ribosomal RNA", at positions 527 to 896 of the family's 1533-position model. The record is from RNAcentral.
GUAGGUGGCAAGCGUUGUCCGGAAUUAUUGGGCGUAAAGCGCGCGCAGGCGGUUCUUUAAGUCUGAUGUGAAAGCCCACGGCUCAACCGUGGGGGGUCAUUGGAAACUGGAGAACUUGAGUACAGAAGAGGAAAGCGGAAUUCCACGUGUAGCGGUGAAAUGCGUAGAGAUGUGGAGGAACACCAGUGGCGAAGGCGGCUUUCUGGUCUGUAACUGACGCUGAGGCGCGAAAGCGUGGGGAGCAAACAGGAUUAGAUACCCUGGUAGUCCACGCCGUAAACGAUGAGUGCUAAGUGUUAGGGGGUUUCCCGCCCCCCUUAGUGCUGCAGCUAACGCAUUAAGCACUCCGCCUGGGGAGUACGGCCGCAAGGCUG